Sporisorium reilianum f. sp. reilianum is the source of this 109-nucleotide non-coding RNA. The record is from the annotation of a GenBank genome assembly. NCBI's taxonomy places the organism in Eukaryota, Fungi, Basidiomycota, Ustilaginomycetes, Ustilaginales, Ustilaginaceae.
GGUUGUAUGGAGUAGCUGGUUAACUUAGGAGAUUCUGAUUGAUUGGGGCUUCGAGCCUCCAAUCCGAUUCGACCUUCUCUUGCCCUGGGUUCGAAUCCCAGUACGACCU